This 2306-nucleotide unclassified non-coding RNA is filed under the name Hevea brasiliensis (rubber tree). The record is from RNAcentral. Lineage: Eukaryota; Viridiplantae; Streptophyta; Magnoliopsida; Malpighiales; Euphorbiaceae.
GGGGUUUCACUGUGAAGGAGAAGGAGAAGAGAAAGAUUGAGAAUGGCAUUAUCUUCAUCAAGUACGACGCUAAUCCCUUCUCUUGCUACUUCUUCUUCAUUCUCUUCUAAACCAACAGCACCAACCAAGCUCUUUGCUUCUUCUUCUUCUUCUUUGUCUGUAUUCUCCAAUUCUGUUAAUGUUGCCUUUAGCUCCCUAAAGCUAUCACCCUCAACAACCAGGGUUUUUGCUGCUCCUGAGACUUUGGAUUCUGAAGACACUCUAGACCCACCUCCUGAAACCCUUGAUGAACCUGAUUCUGAUACUUUUCAGAUUGGAGAUUCUGAGAUACCAACUUCUCCAUCACUCAGCAUUGGAGCAGAUGCGGAUAAGAUGGCUCCAAAGCAGAAAAUUAGAAUUAAGCUAAGGUCUUACUGGGUGCCCCUGAUUGAGGACUCCUGCAAGCAGAUAAUGGAUGCUGCUAGGACUACCAAUGCAAAGACCAUGGGUCCUGUACCAUUACCAACAAAGAAGCGAAUCUACUGUGUUUUAAAAUCCCCCCAUGUGCACAAGGAUGCUAGAUUUCAUUUUGAGAUCAGAACCCACCAACGCCUAAUUGAUAUUCUCUACCCAACUGCUCAGACAAUUGAUUCAUUGAUGCAACUCGACCUUCCUGCUGGGGUUGAUGUGGAGGUUAAGCUCUGAAGAAGCAAAGACUAAGGUAAUUUCUUGAAGUUUUUAAGUUGCUCUAUGUAUGCUUUUUUUGUCCCUUUGAAAUUUGGCCAUAUUACUUAGAAAUUCAUGACUCUUGUUGCAAUUUUAGUCAAACUGGUUAGGCCAUGAACUUUGGUUAGUUAUACAUUUGUGGCCAAAGAUGACCCAUGGUGGAACAUUGCUAUCAUUUCCAACAAGUUGGAACUUAGAUACAUGCAGAACCAGAGAUGUUACUACAUUUUUUACUUCAAUCUAUAAAUAUUACAAUUGAUCUCCAAUAUAUAUCAGUUAUUGAAGCUUCAGCUUAUUACUUUUAUCUCAGUAUGAAUUGUAUCAAGUUGUGCUUUUCAGUAAAACACGCAAUCAAUUGUAUGAGUAUGUGGUAUGGACAUCAAACAAUGCAUGGGAAUAAAAAAAAAGUACAAAUACAACUUUACUGUGAGAUGUGGAUGCAACUUUGGCCAUAAUUGUGUGUACCUAACAAAACUUCAUGGCUUUUUUUGUUAAAAUUAAAAAUUUUGGCUAAAAUGUGAAUAGGAUCAGAAGUCAUUGGAUCUUAGAUAGUAUGGCCUUGAAAUUUCUUUGAUGAAGAAUACAAUGCUAUGACAUAAGCAUUAUUUUAUUAUUUAACAACUCCAUAGCAAGCUCCUGAGGUUUGUUUCUGGGUGUUCUAUGUAACUGCAUAUUUAUUUGCAAGAAUGAUAUUCAUUUUUGUUUUGGAAGGAGGAAUGACUACUAGCAGUAACUAUGAUGAUUUUAUUGUAUUCAAGGAAAUAUAUGUUCAUAGUUUUAUGCUAGGCUGUCAAAUUUUAUUUUUACUUUGCUAAGCAACACAUUAUAUUAAAACUUAAAACUAUGUAGCUCGUUCCAUCUUGAGUUCAAUUUUUCCACAAUGAAACUCGAACCUCACAAUUGGCAUCUUCUUGUCUUUUGUGCUUUUAUAUAUUUUGGAGAUUUGAGUGCUUAAAACUGUAGCAUGUUAAAAAUCUCUCCUUCAAAUAAUGUCUAUUCCAACCUUCUUGUGCUCUUUAUCUAUUUUGUUAUUUGAUUUCAUUUUUAAUUCACAUCACGUCCAAUCUCCUGGAUAUACUUUUCAUCUCCACCCCAUCCCAUAGAUUUACGGAUUGCCUCUGACUUCUUCUGAGAUUAACUAUUCUAAGAGAUAGCAUUGGAGAACUUUUGACGUCAUGUUCUCAUUAUUAUGAUUUUCAGUUGUGAUUGCCUUCUAGGGUUGUUCUGGUCUAUUUUACGCAGCAUAGUAUUCUUCGUUGUGAUUCCUUCUCUUUGCUUUAAUUUUUCAUAAGGCUUAUGAAAUGAACAUUGUAAUGGUAGGUGUCCUAUAAGAAAAGCAAGUGUGAGGAAAACUCAUGUUCAAUUCAAGCUUGGGGAAGGUUUGCUUGAACAAGUAAAAAUUGUUGUACCUGUCCUGCAAAAUUUUUUGGUUGGAGAAUUGUAAGCAAUGUUCUAUGUGAAAUUUCACUAAUGCUGAUCGGACGUUAGAAGUGAAAAAUAGGAAUGUAGAGCUUCUUUUUGGACGUUUGUUAUGUUCGAUUAGUAGCUACAUGGAUGUAAACUCUUGGGAAAUGAAAUUCAUAAAUUAAGUCUUUCUGUUA